Long non-coding RNA from Cyprinus carpio carpio, 528 nucleotides. NCBI's taxonomy places the organism in Eukaryota, Metazoa, Chordata, Actinopteri, Cypriniformes, Cyprinidae. The record is from Ensembl.
GUUCCGAAGUGAGGUAAACUUCAACAGAUUUCCCCUGCUCAGGGAGUAGGGAGCAAUGAACACGGUGUAGGAACCAUGUCAAUGGGAACACAGUUCAUGCACGGAGCUCACUUCUGACGAGCUGAUUAUCUGAAUCAGAAAGCACAUCUUCACUUCUGAACUGCUGAAGUGUUAAAUGUUCCAGAGUCAAGACAGAGAGAUGAAAAGUUAAACAACACUCAACAAAACAUCCACGGAAGAGGGAACGAAAGGGUCUCAAUCUUUCACCUUGUCAAUAUUUUACAAGUAAACAGUGACAAACAAGAAGUGACUUCCAUUCAGAGCUUGGCCGCCUCCCCAGAAAACAUUGCUUCUUUAGAAAUGCUGAUUCAACCUUUUCACGGCUUCCUUAUUUUCCUCCAGUGAUGCAGCAUCAAGAUGAAGCCAGAAAUGGAAACUGAAAAUAGGUGUGAUUAAACGCUUUAUUUGUUUCUUUCUCUGAUCAAUUGCAGGCCUUUAGGAAACCUGUUUGGUAACAGAAACAACGCA